RNAcentral lists this long non-coding RNA (725 nucleotides) under Medicago truncatula (barrel medic). Its description in RNAcentral is "long non-coding RNA (MTRU_LNC002997)". The record is from RNAcentral. Lineage: Eukaryota; Viridiplantae; Streptophyta; Magnoliopsida; Fabales; Fabaceae.
AUCUUCUAUUUUGAUAUUCAUUUCUGCUUCUGGGUGUGUUUUGUUCAAUUUGUUUCUUGUUUCCUCUUCAAUACACUAUCUGGUUUUCUGAUCGAUCUGGACAGUGAUGCUUGUUAUUGAGUUUGAUCAUCAAAUUCAUCAUCUUCAUCCCCCAAUUCAUUUCUCAGAUGUGUAAUUACUACCCUUUACACCAUUCAUCUUUCUCACAACCACACUUAGAUCCAAUUCGAUCAAAUUGUUUAUGGAAAUUGGGUCUUUAACAAAGUUACUGCACCAAGAUCUGGAACUUUUAUGUAUUUUCCCUCAAUCAUGAAGGUCACUCCGACCUUAUUGUUGUGUUGUGUUGUGUUUUGUUCGCUUUUAUUUAAGUUUGUGAAGAUAAUUUUAUGAGCUUUGUUUCUGCUUGAUUCAUCUUGAUCUUUUAUACUUCAAUUAUGAAUUUAGAUUUGGGAGGAAGAAGAAUGAUACGAAGAAGGAGGACGAUUAUGAGCUUGGUUUCUGCUUGAUUCAUCUUGAUCUUUUAUGCUUCAAUUAUGAAUUUAGAUUUGGAAGGAAGAAGAAUGAUACGAAGAAGGAGGACGAUUAUGUUUGUUUCAUUAAGAUGAGAAUGAUAGGAAGUGAUUAAUUUCUAAAAAAAAUUAUGUUUGUUUGAUUAAGAUGAUAAAGUUUAUGAAAAUGAUGAAGAAAGAGUGGAGGGAAGAAGAUGAUACUAAGAGAAGAUGAAC